Molecule: long non-coding RNA, 1470 nt
Organism: Gadus macrocephalus (Pacific cod)
Lineage: Eukaryota; Metazoa; Chordata; Actinopteri; Gadiformes; Gadidae
Exons: 2
Source: RefSeq, a predicted model, not a curated record
UUCAUACUAAAAGGGUCUUAAGAAGUCAAAGGGUCCCAGGCAUGCAGGCUGACGCCAAGUGGCGAAUUAAGGAACUGCAUUAUGGUGAGGUCAUCUCCCCCUUGUUAUUUUACACAUACUGGGAGGUGAAAAAUCCAUAGGAUUGGAAAACAAUGCUAAUGCACUCUUGUAAAGCUGUAGCAUAUAUGGAGGAGAUUUUUUCGUUUGGCCUACAUAUCCACUGGUCGCUUAUGUCAAUGUGUUGACUAAAGAGCCACACAUCCAAACCCACUAGCACCUUGUCUUUUUUGUCUUUCUGGGAUGCACCCCAUUAUUCUGUCAUCACUUCAUUGUACAACCCAUAAUUUACCAUCCCUCCAUAGUGCACCUGCACCUCAUCAAUUACCAUUAGAUCAUAAACAUAUUCUGUGCAUACACAAUUUUUCUUUAGAUCUAUUUUUUCUUGAAAGGAAGGGUGGAAGAUAAGAUUAUGAAAUUAUCGUCGUGAAUGGAAGUGUACCAUUCUGAAAAAAACUGCAUUGAAUCAAGUUCUUUUAUUUUUUGCUAUAUUUUAAACUCCUAAGCCAGUCAACACAUACUCACUCUAAAACAGGUAACAAUAUGAUUAAUACUGACCAAGUUGCCAUUCCCGUCGGUAAAUGGUCUCAUGUACAAUAUGAGUUAAAGCUCUGUUUGGGGAAAAUUCUAAUAAUCUGAGAACUGAAGUCAAUAUCUGGGAGUUACUUUUGGUUUCAUUAACUGUAGCAAAGGGGGAGACACCGGCACCACACACACUUACUUAUUUUUUACAUCUCAGAUGAAAGCUUUUGAACCGAAGAGGGCCUCUUUAUGUUUACCAGAGAAAUGAGGCAAUAACUUUGCGAAAUUGACCUGGUUUUGUCUUAUUAAUAUUCUAUGGCAUAAAAGAUGAAAAACACACAUUAGAGGUGUUUGAGGCCAUUAGCCUUGGGUUUCUAUUAGAAAUCCUAGGUUGGCUACCUUGUGUUUUAAUAGACGUCUUAGGUUGGCUACCUUGUGUUCUUUUUAUAGAAGUCUUAGGUUGGCCAUCUUGUGUUUUAAUAGACUUAUUGGGUUGGCUCCCUUGGGUCUUUUUACACUGUGUCAAGUGGCUUAGGAUUCAAGUGCUAUCCUUCGAGACCUAUUUAUGUUUCCAGCAUUUUAGCUAUUGAGAAUCAAAUAAACGAUUAAAUUGACAAAAUAAUAGGGUGCAUUUAACGACAGUGUAAAUUAAUGCGGAGAAACAGGUUUAUUUGAUCACCCCUUGUAGCGGGAGUGUUCUUUAAGUUCCUUGAUUUGUCUUAGCCUAAAACAGGAUUUUGAGAGUUAUUUUUCAUUUGCUCGUCUAACACAACUAUGUUUGCAUAGACAUCACACACACACACACACACACACACACACACACACACACACACACACACACACACACACACACACACACACACACACACACACACACACACACACACACAC